UACGGAGGGUGCAAGCGUUAUCCGGAUUCACUGGGUUUAAAGGGUGCGUAGGUGGGCAGGUAAGUCAGUGGUGAAAUCUCCGGGCUUAACCCGGAAACUGCCGUUGAUACUAUUUGUCUUGAAUGUCGUGGAGGUGAGCGGAAUAUGUCAUGUAGCGGUGAAAUGCUUAGAUAUGAUGUAGAACACCGAUUGCGAAGGCAGCUCACUAAGCAGACAUUGACGCUGAGGCACGAAAGCGUGGGGAUCAAACAGG
RNAcentral lists this ribosomal RNA (253 nucleotides) under uncultured bacterium. RNAcentral's name for it is "partial 16S ribosomal RNA". It matches the Rfam family "Bacterial small subunit ribosomal RNA", at positions 524 to 776 of the family's 1533-position model. The record is from RNAcentral.